GUUGUAAUAGUUUCAGGUGGACACAUACAUGUAUGCAUUCUCCCCUAAACGACCCUCCCAUCCCAGCUGCCCCAUAACAUUGAGCAGAGUUCCCUACUGGGAAUCAUUUUGAUCAGUGUUUUCUCAUAUGUUCCUCUACUGCUGCUGUGUUGUCUGCUUUCCGUGCAGCAAGAUAACUACCUGAGCCACUUCUUAACUGGUGCAACACCUGGCUGAAUGCUCAGGGCACACCGCAGAAGGUGGGACGUGGGAGGCUCUAAGAGCCCUUCAGGAGGUGUGGAGGUUUCAGGAGAUCAUGGAGAGGACAAGAGCGCCCGUUGACCCACGAACCGGAUCCGGAAUUCAGAGGCUCACCCGCCCCCACCCCAGCCCCGGAACGUACGGAACGUACGUUCUGCCCACCCUUUCCACGGUUGGAGCCAUUUUCAAGGACGCAGCUUGAGGUGUUGAGCCCAUCUCUACCGCUUAGGUGGCUGAACCCAGUGCUGGAUAAUAUCAUGCUGAGCUACACCACCCAUGACACAUUAUUUUGGAGCAUACGUGGAUUAUUCUAUGGAUUUUUUUCUUGAAGAGAUUUAAACAAUUCUCCAAAUUUCACAUCCAGUUAGUUUAAUAUGCAUAUGUUUUACAUCACUAGAAGCCACUGAAAUAUAAAUAUUACCAUUUUUUAAUGCAUUUCACAAAAUUUCAUCACUUUUGAUGUGCAAUAAUGAGAAUAUAUUAGUAAAAAAGUAUCUCUUGAUUACUCCUUUUAUUGCCUGCCAAAUGCAUUAUAAUUUGUCUUUAUAGUUGAAGAUGUGACAUGGAAAAAAGGAGCUCUUCAAUUUUCAAUGGUUUACAGGCUACACGAAACAAUUUAUUCCUGAAUAGAAGUUCUGUUUGAUAUGUGAAUACUGCAAUGAAUAUUUGCCAGCAUCCAUUCAUUGAGAAACUAUUUUAUUGUUACUGUUAAAGUACUUGGGAACACAGCAGUAAAGCCC
Molecule: long non-coding RNA, 980 nt
Filed under: Capra hircus (goat)
Lineage: Eukaryota; Metazoa; Chordata; Mammalia; Artiodactyla; Bovidae
Description: lncRNA (ENSCHIG00000005838.1)
Source: RNAcentral